This 274-nucleotide unclassified non-coding RNA is filed under the name Hevea brasiliensis (rubber tree). The record is from RNAcentral. Lineage: Eukaryota; Viridiplantae; Streptophyta; Magnoliopsida; Malpighiales; Euphorbiaceae.
AAUUUCAUAAGUCAAUAGUCUUUAGUUUAAAGCUUGGAACCUGUGGCAGAUAUAAUUAGGCUGAGAUAUUUUCUUGGCUGUAUGUUAACAUGGUUAACGUCCACAACUGCCAUCUGGCAUAAACAUAUGUCAUAGAACCCUUGUUGUUUGUGUUUUGGGCCGCAGAUCAGAUCAUUGCCGUUUUAAUUAUUAUACAAUCAUAAAAAAGAGGGAAAAAUACUUAAUCAAUUAUCAUGUAACGAGAAUAAUGACCUAAAAGUUUGGCCAAAAGAGU